RNAcentral lists this ribosomal RNA (109 nucleotides) under uncultured bacterium. RNAcentral describes it as "partial 16S ribosomal RNA". It matches the Rfam family "Bacterial small subunit ribosomal RNA", at positions 1365 to 1482 of the family's 1533-position model. The record is from RNAcentral.
AAUACGUUCCCGGGCCUUGUACACACCGCCCGUCAAGCCAUGGAAGCUGGGGGUGCCUGAAGUCGGUGACCGCAAGGAGCUGCCUAGGGUAAAACCGGUAACUGGGGCU